Molecule: non-coding RNA, 1444 nt
Organism: Macaca mulatta (Rhesus monkey)
Lineage: Eukaryota; Metazoa; Chordata; Mammalia; Primates; Cercopithecidae
Source: RefSeq, a predicted model, not a curated record
AACAGAGUGAGACUCCGUCUCAAAAAAAAAAAAAAAAAAGACACAGAGCGGCCCCGAGGCAGGCUGCCUGGACUGUGCUGCUUCUCUCCUGAGCCUCUCUUUGAGGGGAGGCCUCAGGACUGAUGCCCACAUGGACUCUGUCCAGAUGCUCAGCAGCCAGUGCUCUCACUGGUUCCCAGCUCACUUAAAACCUGGUGCCCAGGGAGCAGCUGGGACAGCCCCCAGAAUCAAGACCACAUGGUCCAGGCUUUCCGUGCUUGUAGAUAGCUGUUCUCUGUCCCCACAUGUCCUUGCACCUCUGCUCACUGCAAAUGGACACCCCCAAGGAAGGGUGGACAUAGAGACCCAGGGACUCCAUGAGCUGGAAGACCAGCUGGCUCCAGGUGCUAAGGCAGUUGCCAGGAGAUGUUUAUCCCACUAAAUACUUCUUCCUGGUACUCAUUUGCAGCCUCGUCAAUCUGUGUUAAGAAGCCAUCCAAAGCCAGAAUUGACCAGGCACAGUGGUUCAUGCCUGUAAUCCCAGCACUGUGGGAGGCUGAGGGCGUUUUUAUGGCAAUGCAUGUUUUGUGGCCAGCAGGAGCCAUGUGGGAUAUUUGCUACAGAUGAACAACCCCACGAGUUGGGCGGAGAUGGCAGAAGUCUGGGUUGCACUUUCUCCAAUCCCUAAGUGUCUGGUAUGCACUCAGGUGUCCCUUGACACUUCAAAGGAUACCCCUGUGCCCUGCGGGGAUGGUGCCUGCUCACUGGCAUGCUGGAGCGGGAGACAGCCUGGCCUAUAAGUUUCUUGCUAGUGCCGGGCGCGGUGGCUCACGCCUGUAAUCCCAGCACUUUGGGAGGCCGAGGCGGGCGGAUCACAAGGUCAGGAGAUCGAGACCACGGUGAAACCCCGUCUCUACUAAAAAUACAAAAAAUUAGCCGGGCGCGGUUGUGGGCGCCUGUAGUCCCAGCUACUCGGGAGGCUGAGGCAGGAGAAUGGCGUGAACCCGGGAGGCGGAGGUUGCAGUGAGCCAAGAUCGCGCCACUGCACUCCAGCCUGGGCGACAGAGCGAGACUCCGUCUCAAAAAAAAAAAAAAUAAAUAAGUUUCUUGCUAGCAAGGACCUCUCUGCCAUCCGCUGCUUGGACUAAUGUCUGCACAGAGUUCUGGAGGAAUUCAACUCUGAGCGUCUUGGAGAACUUCAGAAAUAAUAAAAAGGAUACACAGAGGCUCCCCAGCUGGCUCCUCUGCACCGGAGAGCGUCAGGAAAGCCAUGUGGGCUGAGAGCUCAGCUGAGUGCCUGUGGCCACGAAGCUGUUGGGUCCUGCAGAGUGUGAUCUGUUGGGCAUCAAACUGUGCCAGAGUCGAGGGAGCGGGAGGCUGAGGGUCAGGAUGGAGCGGCUCAGCCUCUGGGCGGAAGCCAUCCCUUCUGUCAGAAGAAUGCAGUCGACUGUCUUUGCUCCUCUUU